CCUACGGGAGACAGCAGUAGGGAAUCUUCCACAAUGGGCGAAAGCCUGAUGGAGCAACGCCGCGUGGGUGAAGAAGGUCUUCGGAUCGUAAAACCCUGUUGUUAGAGAAGAAAGUGCGUGAGAGUAACUGUUCACGUUUCGACGGUAUCUAACCAGAAAGCCACGGCUAACUACGUGCCAGCAGCCGCGGUAAUACGUAGGUGGCAAGCGUUAUCCGGAUUUAUUGGGCGUAAAGGGAACGCAGGCGGUCUUUUAAGUCUGAUGUGAAAGCUUUCGGCUUAACCGGAGUAGUGCAUUGGAAACUGGGAGACUUGAGUGCAGAAGAGGAGAGUGGAAUUCCAUGUGUAGCGGUGAAAUGCGUAGAUAUAUGGAAGAACACCAGUGGCGAAAGCGGCUCUCUGGUCUGUAACUGACGCUGAGGUUCGAAAGCGUGGGUAGCAAACAGGAUUAGAUACCCGGGUAGUC
RNAcentral lists this ribosomal RNA (465 nucleotides) under uncultured bacterium. RNAcentral's name for it is "partial 16S ribosomal RNA". It matches the Rfam family "Bacterial small subunit ribosomal RNA", at positions 338 to 795 of the family's 1533-position model. The record is from RNAcentral.